This 537-nucleotide long non-coding RNA is filed under the name Homo sapiens (human). RNAcentral's name for it is "HSALNT0212719". The record is from RNAcentral. Lineage: Eukaryota; Metazoa; Chordata; Mammalia; Primates; Hominidae.
UCCCCAGGCCUAAUUCCAUUUCUUGGGAUCGUCCAUUCUCUGACUCACGACAGGGUAUAGGAGGCCUAACCAAUUAUGAGCACAAAGGAGAGAUUAAGUGAACCAUACAUCUUUCCAGUCACUUUGGUCCCCUGGUUUGUGAUGCAGAGUCCUUCAUUCAGUUUCCAGUGCAACCCUUUCUGAUGAAUUCACCCCAGAGUCACUUUUACUAUCAUGGGAUCCAUCAUAUUAAAACGGCACUUAGGAGCUGGGUGAGGCAGUGAGGAGGACAAUGGAAAGACUGAGCAGCAAGAAGAGAGGAGGGUGAGGUGGGAACCCACAUGGCUGAGUGGAAAAAGUUAACUGAACUGCCUUGGAAAUAGGCUCCACAUAUUUUUGGAUCAAGCCUUAGUGUUCUAUCUCGUGUGUUUGACAGAGCGGAUUAUGUUUUAACUUUUCUUCCUCUACCUGACAAAGUUAUUUUGAGGAAUAAUCAUGAAAUGAGGAAUAGAGAUGGAGAGGGUCCAACAAUGUGCUAGCAAAAAGAAGCAGAGGACA